RNAcentral lists this ribosomal RNA (513 nucleotides) under uncultured bacterium. RNAcentral describes it as "partial 16S ribosomal RNA". It matches the Rfam family "Bacterial small subunit ribosomal RNA", at positions 28 to 523 of the family's 1533-position model. The record is from RNAcentral.
GACGAACGCUGGCGGCAUGCCUAAUACAUGCAAGUCGAGCGAACAGAUGAAGUGCUUGCACUUCUGACGUUAGCGGCGAACGGGUGAGUAACACGUAAGGAAUCUACCUAUAAGCGGGGGAUAACAUUCGGAAACGGGUGCUAAUACCGCAUAAUAUCUUCUUCCGCAUGGAAGAAGAUUGAAAGACGGCUCUGCUGUCACUUAUAGAUGACCUUGCGGUGCAUUAGUUAGUUGGUGGGGUAACGGCCUACCAAGACGAUGAUGCAUAGCCGACCUGGGAGGGUGACGGGCCACAUUGGGACUGGGACACGGCCCAAACGCCUACGGGAGGCAGAAGUAGGGAAUCUUCCGAAAUGGGCGAAAGCCUGACGGAGCAAUGCCGCGUGAGUGAAGAAGGCCUUCGGGUCGUAAAACUCUGUUAUAAGAGAAGAACAAAUUGUAGAGUAACUGCUACAGUCUUGACGGUAUCUUAUCAGAAAGCCACGGCUAACUACGUGCCAGCAGCCGCCGUAA